Molecule: long non-coding RNA, 862 nt
Organism: Tarenaya hassleriana
Lineage: Eukaryota; Viridiplantae; Streptophyta; Magnoliopsida; Brassicales; Cleomaceae
Exons: 4
Source: RefSeq, a predicted model, not a curated record
AAUGCUCGCGCUCUGAGUGCGAGCGAGAUGGCGAGGUUGGUGGCGCUGCUAUUAUGCAGCUUUCUUCUUCUCGGAGCUCUAACCCUAACCCUAAUUCAGGCUAAGAAAUCCAAGGUGAAUUUGAUGGAAUUUUCCCACAAGGUUUAUUUCGAUAUUGAGAGCUGGUUGAAUUGUUAUGGGUCUCUUUUGCAAUACAGUCCCCAAAACUGCUGGUAUGCUUAACAUGUUUUAUGUGCUGUUGAUUGUUGGUUGCGCGCCUGCGGAGGAUUUCUGGGCUUGGCGCGCAGGGGAGAUAGGGAUUGGUAACAGUAGAAACCUCUCCAUUACAUGGGGAGCAUAUUCCACAGGAUUUGUAACAGUAGAAACCUCUCCAUCACAGUAGAAACCCAUGGGAACGAAAUGGUCAAAGAAUCUGUUUAUGGCGAGACUUUUUGUGGUGAAUACCUCAAGAUCAGGCAUACGGGGACAUGUAGCUCUUUCUCGAUACUGAUUUCAAUUUCUUCAGGGGCUUUACCCAGUGGGUUGGCUUACUCACUGUAUACCUCUAUUUCCCAAGGACUUGGUAUCAAUGGCAAAGGCCGACAAAGACGCCAAGUCUUUCAUCACAAUGGUAACAACCAGCUGGUGAGUACGGAAUUUUUCAGAAUCAAAUACACCAAUAUGAAUCCCAAUGUGCUUUGUCUUUGUGGUUCUGUAUGUGUAGGGAUGAAUUAUGCAUUAGGAUCAGGAUUGGGGUUGGAUUAUAUAUAUAUAGACAUGGGUUUGUAGAUACAGAUAUUUGGCUUGGCUGCAUUUUUUUUUUAAAUUUGGAAUGUAGAUGACGCGCACUAUAUAUACGCACACUAUAUAUACAUAUAUAUAA